UUUUUUUUUCUUUUCUUUUAGUAGAGAGAGAGAGAGCCUAGCCUUGCCUCUUGGGCCUCCUGUAGCCGCAGGCCCAGCAGCAGUCAACCCACUCCUCUCGUAACCCUAACGAGCAUCUCUCCCUCGACCUUUUCCUCUAUCGCCGCCUCCUAUCGAUCCCCUAGUGCAGCCGAACCCUUCUCCUCAGUGCCGCAGAGCCCUCGGCUCGAUCCCGAUCCCCUCGACCCCUUUCCUCUCGAUCCCACGCGACCCCCAUCUCUCUCUCUCUCUGGAUCCCGCGCAUAGCCACCCAGCUCCUCUGUCCAUCGAGCCACUGCCGGAGCUCCACCUCGCCGGCCGACGAGGCCACGACCAAGCUGGAGCCUCCUCUCCUCCCUCUGCUUCGCGCCUCCCGAGCGGCGACUGGGAUGUUCUUCCUCCCGCUGGAACCAGGAGCGCCGCCACCCUUGACCCGCCUCGCCGUCGCCAUGGACCGAAGCCGCGCCUCGGUUGCUUCUUGUACGCAGCCGCCGGCCUCUCCUUCCUCCUGCCCGGUUCCCCUUGCUGCCUUGCCGCCGUCGAGCUGCGCCGCAGUGCCGACCUUGCUCUGCCCUUGCAGAUGCUGCUUCGUCACCUCGCGCCCGCGCCUCUUCCUCCCUCCGUUCGGCCGCAAGCGCGUCGCCGCCUUCUUCGAGCAGCAACAGCGUUUUUCGCUGCAUGCUGACGAGCACACGACCCGGCCUUCUCCUACUACUACCUCGAGAAGUACCACCACGACCUGCAUGCCCUGUCCGCCGCAGUGGACGACCGCGACGCCCCACUGUGAUCAUGUACCUCCACUUGCUGUUGCUGUUGAUGUCAAGUUCGACCACCGAACAUGGAUUAGCGCCAAGUACCACAGCGGCCAGCAUUUGGAUUCGACAAGUUCGACGACGCGUGUACAACUACGUUACCGAAACCGCCAAGUACCUCUACACACGGAUGCGUCAAGGUUGUCUCAGAUAUCGCCAAGUACACCACCGAAAAGACCACAUGGAUGCUCGAACGAGUACUGAAAUGAACGCCGAGUACCACUACACGACCAUUUACAUGUACCCCUACGCCGCACCGAAACGCCGAGUGUUGGGGAACGUAGCAAAAUUUUAAAAUUUUCUAUGCAACACCAAGAUCAAUCUAUGGAGUCAUCUAGCACCGAGGGAGAGAGAAGUCCAUCUACAUAUCCUUGUAGAUUGCGCGCGUAAGCGUUCAAGAGAACGGGGUUGAUGGAGUCGUACUCGACGUGAUCCAAGUCACCGAUGACCUAGUGCCGAACGGACGACACCUCCGCGUUCAACACACGUACGGUUGGGAAGACGUUUCCUCCUUCUUGAUCCAGCAAGGGGGAAGGAGAGGUUGAUGAAGAUCCAGCAGCACGACGGCGUGGUGGUGGAUGCAGCAGGAUCCCGGCAGGGCUUCGCCAAGCACAAGCGGGGAGGAGAGGUGUUACGGAGGGAGAGGGAGGCGCCAAGAGCAAGGGGUGCGGCUGCCCUCCCUCCCCCCUCUUUAUAUAGGGGCCUUGGGGGGGUGCCGGCCCUAGGAGAUGGAUCUCCAAAGGGGCGACGGCCAAGGGGUGGCUUCCCCCCCAAGCCAAGUGGGGGGCGCCCCCACCCCUAGGGUUUCCCAACCCUAGGCGCAGGGGAGGCCCAAGGGGGGGCGCACCAGCCACUAGGGGCUGGUUCCCCUCCCAACUCAGCCCAUGGGGCCCUCCGGGAUAGGUGGCCCCACCCGGUGGACCCCGGGACCCUUUCGGUGGUCCCCGUACAAUACCGGCGACCCCCGAAACCUUCCCGAUGGCCGAAACUGGACUUCCUAUAUAUAAAUCUUUACCUCCGGACCAUUCCGAAACUCCUCGUGACGUCCGGGAUCUCAUCCGGGACUCCGAAAAACUUUCGGGUUACUGCAUACUAAUAUCUCUACAACCCUAGCAUCACUGAACCUUAAGUGUGUAGACCCUACCGGUUCGGGAGACAUGCAGACAUGACCGAGAUGCCUCUCCGGUCAAUAACCAACAGCGGGAUCUGGAUACCCAUGUUGGCUCCCACAUGCUCCACGAUGAUCUCAUCGAAUGAACCACGAUGUCGAGGAUUCAAUCAAUCCAUAUACAAUUCCCUUUGUCAAUCGGUACGUUACUUGCCCGAGACUCGAUCGUCGGUAUCCCAAUACCUCGUUCAAUCUCGUUAUCGGCAAGUCACUUUACUCGUGCCGUAAUGCAUGACCCCGUGAUCAACCACUUGGUCACAUUGAGCUCAUUAUGAUGAUGCAUUACCGAGUGGGCCCAGAGAUACCUCUCCGUCAUACGGAGUGACAAAUCUCAGUCUCGAUUCGUGCCAACCCAACAGAUACUUUCGGAGAUACCUGUAGUGUACCUUUAUAGUCACCCAGUUACGUUGUGACGUUUGGCACACCCAAAGCACUCCUACGGUAUCCGGGAGUUGCACAAUCUCAUGGUCUAAGGAAAUGAUACUUGACAUUCGGAAAAGCUACAACAAACAAACUACACGGUCUUUGAGCUAUGCUUAGGAUUGGGUCUUGUCCAUCACAUCAUUCUCCUAAUGAUGUGAUCCCGUUAUCAAUGACAUCCAAUGUCCAUAGUCAGGAAACCAUAACUAUCUUUUGAGCAACGAGCUAGUCAACUAGAGGCUCACUAGGGACGUGUUGUGGUAUAUGUAUUCACACAUGUAUUACGAUUUCCGGAUAACACAAUUAUAGCAUGAACAAUAGACAAUUAUCAUGAACAAAGAAAUAUAAUAAUAACCAUUUUAUUAUUGCCUCUAGGGCAUAUUUCCAAUAGUCUCCCACUUGCACUAGAGUCAAUAGUCUAGUUACAUUGUGAUGAAUCGAACACCCAUGCAGUUCUGGUGUUGAUCAUGUUUUGCUCUAGGGAGAGGUUUAGUCAACGGAUCUGCCACAUUCAGGUCCGUAUGUACUUUACAAAUAUCUAUGUCUCCAUCCUGUACACUUUCACGAAUGGAGUUGAAGUGACGCUUGAUAUGCCUGGUCUUCCUGUGAAACCUGGGCUCCUUGGCAAGGGCAAUAGCUCCAGUGUUGUCACAGAAGAGAGUCAUCGGGCCCGACGCAUUGGGUAUGACUCCUAGGUCGGUUAUGAACUCCUUCACCCAGACUGCUUCUUGUGCUGCCUCUGAGGCUGCCAUGUACUCCGCUUCACAUGUAGAUCCCACCACAACGCUUUGCUUGCAACUGCACCAGCUUACUGCCCCACCAUUCAAAAUAUACACGUAUCCGGUUUGUGACUUAGAGUCAUCCAGAUCUGUGUCGAAGCUAGCAUUGACGUAACCCUUUACGACGAGCUCUUCGUCACCUCCAUAAACAAGAAACAUAUCCUUAGUCCUUUUCAGGUACUUCAGGAUAUUCUUGACCGCUGUCCAGUGUUCCAUGCCGGGAUUACUUUGGUACCUUCCUAGCAAACUUACGGCAAGGUUUACAUCAGGUCUGGUACACAGCAUAGCAUACAUGAUAGACCCUAUGGCCGAGGCAUAGGGGACGACACUCAUCUUUUCUCUAUCUUCUGCCGUGGUCGGGCAUUGAGCCGUGCUCAAUCUCGUACCUUGCAAUAUAGGCAAGAACCCCUUCUUUGACUGAUCCAUUUUGAACUUCUUCAAUAUCUUGUCAAGGUACGUACUCUGUGAAAGACCAAUGAGGCGUCUCAAUCUAUCUCUAUAGAUAUUGAUGCCUAAUAUAUAAGCAGCUUCUCCAAGGUCCUUCAUUGAAAAACACUUGUUCAAGUAGGCCUUUAUGCUUUCCAAGAAUUCUAUAUCAUUUCCCAUCAACAGUAUGUCAUCCACAUACAAUAUGAGAAAUGCUAUAGAGCUCCCACUCACUUUCUUGUAAAUGCAGGCUUCUCCAUAAGUCUGUGUAAACCCAAACGCUUUGAUCAUCUCAUCAAAACGAAUGUUCCAACUCCGAGAUGCUUGCACUAGCCCAUAAAUCGAGCGUUGGAGCUUGCACACCUUGUCAGCAUUCUUAGGAUCGACAAAACCUUCCGGCUGCAUCAUAUACAAUUCUUCCUUAAGGAAACCAUUAAGGAACGCUGUUUUGACGUCCAUUUGCCAUAUCUCAUAGUCAUAGAAUGCGCCAAUUGCUAACAUGAUUCGUACGGACUUCAGCUUCGCUACGGGUGAGAAAGUCUCAUCGUAGUCAACCCCUUGAACUUGUCGAUAACCCUUAGCGACAAGCCGAGCUUUAUAGAUGGUUACGUUACCAUCCGUGUCUGUCUUCUUCUUCAAGAUCCAUUUAUUUUCUAUGGCUCACCAAUCAUCGGGAAAGUCAGUUAAAGUCCAUACUUCGUUUCCAUACAUGGAUCCUAUCUCGGAUUUCAUGGCUUCCAGCCAUUUGUCGGAAUCCGGGCCCGCCAUCGCUUCUUCAUAGUUCGAAGGUUCACCGUUGUCUAACAACAUGAUUUCCAAGACAGGGUUGCCGUACCACUCUGGUGCGGAAUGUGUCCUUAUGGACCUAUGAAGUUCAGUACCAACUUGAUCUGAAGUUUCAUGAUCAUCAUCAUUAACUUCCUCUCUAGUCGGUGCAGGCACCUCAGGAACAUUUUCUUGAGCUGCGCUACUUACCGGUUCAAGAGGUAAUACUUCAUCAAGUUCUACUUUCCUCCCACUUAUUUCUUUCAAGAGAAACUCUUUCUCUAGAAAGGACCCAUUCUUGGCAACAAAGAUCUUGCCUUCGGAUCUGAGGUAGAAGGUAUACCCAAUAGUUUCUUUAGGGUAUCCUAUGAAGACGCAUUUUUCCGAUUUGGGUUCGAGCUUUUCAGGUUGAAGUUUCUUGACAUAAGCCUCGCAUCCCCAAACUUUUAGAAACGACAGCUUAGGUUUCUUCCCAAACCAUAAUUCAUACGGUGUCGUCUCAACGGAUUUCGACGGAGCCCUAUUUAAAGUGAAUGCGGCAGUCUCUAAAGCAUAGCCCCAAAAUGACAGCGGUAAAUCGGUAAGAGACAUCAUAGAUCGCACCAUAUCCAAUAGAGUGCGAUUACAACGUUCGGACACACCAUUACGCUGAGGUGUUCCAGGCGGCGUGAGUUGUGAAACUAUUCCACAUUUUCUUAAGCGUGUGCCAAAUUCGUGACUCAAGUAUUCUCCCCCACGAUCUGAUCGCAAGAACUUGAUUUUCCUGUCACGUUGAUUCUCAACCUCACUCUGAAAUUCCUUGAACUUUUGAAAGGUCUCGGACUUGUGUUUCAUUAAGUAGGCAUACCCAUAUCUACUCAAGUCAUCAGUGAGGGUGAGAACAUAACGAUAGCCACCGCGAGCCUCAACACUCAUUGGACCACACACAUCGGUAUAUAUGAUUUCCAAUAAGUUGGUUGCUCGCUCCAUUGUUCCUGAGAACGGAGUCUUGGUCAUUUUACCCAUGAGGCAUGGUUCACAUGUGUCAAAUGAUUCGUAAUCAAGAGACUCCAAAAGCCCAUCUGCAUGGAGCUUCUUCAUGCGUUUGACACCUAUGUGACCAAGGCGGCAGUGCCACAAGUAUGUGGGACUAUCAUUAUCAACCUUACAUCUUUUGGUAUUCACACUAUGAAUAUGUGUAGCAUUACGCUCGAGAUUCAUUAAGAAUAAACCAUUCACCAUCGGAGCAUGACCAUAAAACAUAUCUCUCAUAUAAAUAGAACAACCAUUAUUCUCAGAUUUAAAUGAGUAGCCAUCUCGAAUUAAACGAGAUCCUGAUACAAUGUUCAUGCUCAAAGCUAGCACUAAAUAACAAUUAUUGAGGUUUAAAACUAAUCCCGUAGGUAAAUGUAGAGGUAGCGUGCCGAUGGCGAUCACAUCGACCUUGGAACCAUUCCCGACGCGCAUCGUCACCUCGUCCUUCGCUAGUCUCUGCUUAUUCCGUAGCUCCUGCUUUGAGUUACAAAUGUGAGCAACCGCACCGGUAUCAAAUACCCAGGAGCUACUACGAGUACUGGUAAGGUACACAUCAAUUACAUGUAUAUCACAUAUACCUUUGGUGUUGCCGGCCUUCUUGUCCGCUAAGUAUUUGGGGCAGUUCCGCUUCCAGUGACCACUUCCCUUGCAAUAAAAACACUCAGUCUCGGGCUUGGGUCCAUUCUUUGGCUUCUUCCCGGCAGCUUGCUUACCGGGCGCGGCAACUCCCUUGCCGUCCUUCUUGAAGUUCUUCUUACCCUUGCCUUUCUUGAACUUAGUGGUUUUAUUCACCAUCAACACUUGAUGUUCCUUUUUGAUUUCCACCUCUGCUGAUUUCAGCAUUGAAUAUACCUCAGGAAUGGUCUUUUCCAUCCCCUGCAUAUUGAAGUUCAUAACAAAGCUCUUGUAGCUCGGUGGAAGCGACUGAAGGAUUCUGUCAAUGACUGCGUCAUCCGGGAGAUUAACUCCCAGCUAAGUCAAGCGGUUAUGCAACCCAGACAUUUUGAGUAUGUGCUCACUCACAAAACUAUUUUCCUCCAUCUUACAACUGAAGAACUUGUCGGAGACUUCAUAUCUCUCGACCCGGGCGUGAUCUUGGAAAACCAUUUUCAGCUCUUCGAACAUCUCAUAUGUUCCAUGUCUAUCAAAACACUUUUGGAGCCCCGGUUCUAAGCUGUAAAGCAUGCCGCACUGAACGAGGGAGUAAUCAUCAGCACGUGACUGCCAAGUGUUCAUAACGUCUUGGUUCUCUGGGAUAGGUGCAUCACCUAGCAGCGCUUCUAGGACAUAAUCUUUCUUGGCAGCUAUGAGGAUGAUCCUCAGGUUCCGGACCCAGUCCGUAUAGUUGCUGCCAUCAUCUUUUAGCUUGGUUUUCUCUAGGAACGCGUUGAAGUUGAGGACAACGUGGGCCAUUUGAUCUACAAGACAUAUUGUAAAGAUUUUAGACUAAGUUCAUGAUAAUUAAGUUCAUCUAAUCAAAUUACUCAAUGAACUCCCACUCAGAUAUACAUCCCUCCAGUCAUCUAAGUGAAACAUGAUCCGAGUUAACUAGGCCGUGUCCGAUCAUCACGUGAGACGGACUAGCCAACAUCGGUGAACAUCUACAUGUUGAUCGUAUCUUCUAUACGACUCAUGCUCGACCUUUCGGUCUUCCGUGUUCCGAGGCCAUGUCUGUACAUGCUAGGCUCGUCAAGUCAACCUAAGUGUAUUACGUGUGUAAAUCUGGCUUACACCCGUUGUAUUCGAACGUUAGAAUCUAUCACACCCGAUCAUCACGUGGUGCUUCGAAACAACGAACCUUCGCAACGGUGCACAGUUAGGGGGAACACUUUCUUGAAAUUAUUACGAGGGAUCAUCUUAUUUAAGCUACCAUCGUUCUAAGCAAAUAAGAUGUAAAACAUGAUAAACAUCACAUGCAAUCAAAUAGUGACAUGAUAUGGCCAAUAUCAUUUGCUCCUUUUGAUCUCCAUCUUCGGGGCUCCAUGAUCAUCGUUGUCACCGGCAUGACACCAUGAUCUCCAUCAUCAUGAUCUCCAUCAUCGUGUCUUCUUGAAGUUGUCUCGUCAUCUAUUACUUCUACUACUAUGGCUAACGGUUUAGAAAUAAAGUAAAGUAAUUACAUGAUGUUAUAUGUUGACACGCAGGUCACAAAUAAAUUAAGACAACUCCUAUGGCUCCUGCCGGUUGUCAUACGCAUCGACAUGCAAGUCGUGAUUCCUAUUACAAGAACAUGAUCAUCUCAUACAUCACAUAUAUCAUUCAUCACAUCCUUUGGCCAUAUCACAUCACAAAACACUUGCUGCAAAAACAAGUUAGACAUCCUCUAAUUGUUGUUGCAAGUUUUUACGUGGCUGCUAUAGGAUUCUAGCAAGAACGUUUCUUACCUACGCCAAAACCACAACGUGAAUUGCCAAUUUCUAUUUACCCUUCAUAAGGACCCUGUUCAUCGAAUCCGAUCCGACUAAAGUGGGAGAGACAGACACCCGCCAGCCACCUUAUGGAACUAGUGCAUGUCAGUCGGUGGAACCAGUCUCACGUAAGCGUACGUGUAAGGUCAGUCCGGGCCGCUUCAUCCCACAAUGCCGCCGAAUCAAGAUAAGACUAGUAACGGCAAGCAAAUUGACAAUAUCGACGCCCACAACUGCUUUGUGUUCUACUCGUGCAUAGGAACUACGCAUAGACCUAGCUCAUGAUGCCACUGUUGGGGAACGUAGCAGAACUUUAAAAUUUUCUACGCAACACCAAGAUCAAUCUAUGGAGUCAUCUAGCACCGAGGGAGAGAGGAGUGCAUCUACAUAUCCUUGUAGAUUGCGCGCGGAAGCGUUCAAGAGAACGGGGUUGAUGGAGUCGUACUCGACAUGAUCCAAAUCACCGAUGACCUAGUGCCGAACGGACGGCACCUUCGCGUUCAACACACGUACGGUUGGGAAGACGUCUCCUCCUUCUUGAUCCAGCAAGGGGGAAGGAGAGGUUGAUGAAGAUCCAGCAGCACGACGGCGUGGUGGUGGAUGCAGCAGGAUCCCGGCAGGGCUUCGCCAAGCACAAGCGGGGAGGAGAGGUGUUACGGAGGGAGAGGGAGGCACCAAGAGCAAGGGGUGCAGCUGCCCUCCCUCCCCCCUCUUUAUAUAGGGGCCUUAGGGGGGCGCCGGCCCUAGGAGAUGGAUCUCCAAAGGGGCGGUGGCCAAGGGGUGGCUUCCCCCCCAAGCCAAGUGGGGGCGCCCCCACCCCUAGGGUUUCCCAACCCUAGGCGCAGGGGAAGCCCAAGGGGGGCGCACCAGCCCACUAGGGGCUGGUUCCCCUCCCAACUCAGCCCAUGGGGCCCUCCGGGAUAGGUGGCCCCACCCGGUGGACCCCCGGGACCCUUCCGGUGGUCCUGGUACAAUACCGGCGACCCCCGAAACCUUCCCGAUGGCUGAAACUGGACUUCCUAUAUACAAAUAUUUACCUCCGGACCAUUACGGAACUCCUCGUGACGUCCGGGAUCUCAUCCAGGACUCCCAACAACUUUCGGGUUACUGCAUACUAAUAUCUCUACAACCCUAGCGUCACCGAACCUUAAGUGUGUAGACCCUACGGGUUCGGGAGACAUGCAGACAUGACCGAGACGCCUCUCCGGUCAAUAACCAACACCGGGAUCUAGAUACCCAUGUUGGCUCCCACAUGCUCCAUGAUGAUCUCAUCGGAUGAACCACGAUGUCGAGGAUUCAAUCAAUCUGUAUACAAUUCCCUUUGUCAAUCGGUACGUUACUUGCCCGAGACUCGAUCGUCGGUAUCCCAAUACCUCGUUCAAUCUCGUUACCGGCAAGUCACUUUACUCGUGCCGUAAUGCAUGAUCCCGUGAUCAACCACUUGGUCACAUUGAGCUCAUUAUGAUGAUGCAUUACCGAGUGGGCCCAGAGAUACCUCUCCAUCAUACGGAGUGACAAAUCCCAGUCUCGAUUCGUGCCAACCCAACAGAUACUUUCGGAGAUACCUGUAGUGUACCUUUAUAGUCACCCAGUUACAUUGUGACGUUUGGCACACCCAAAGCACUCCUACGGUAUCCGGGAGUUGCACAAUCUCAUGGUCUAAGGAGAUGAUACUUGACAUUCGGAAAAGCUACAGCAAACAAACUACACGAUCUUUGAGCUAUGCUUAGGAUUGGGUCUUGUCCAUCACAUCAUUCUCCUAAUGAUGUGAUCCCAUUAUCAAUGACAUCCAAUGUCCAUAGUCAGGAAACCAUGACUAUCUUUUGAUCAACGAGCUAGUCAACUAGAGGCUCACUAGGGACGUGUUGUGGUCUAUGUAUUCACACAUGUAUUACGAUUUCCGGAUAACACAACUAUAGCAUGAACAAUAGACAAUUAUCAUGAACAAAGAAAUACAAUAAUGACCAUUUUAUUAUUGCCUCUAGGGCAUAUUUCCAACACCGAGUUCCUCUCCAAACGCGUGUACGACUCCCAGGGCCGAAAGUACCGUAUACCACUACCGUCUCCGAAGAACCGUGUAACGGAACAGUCAAGUUCGACUACCGCCAGCAUGUACAACUACCGUCGCCGAGAUCGCGAGAACCUCUUCCGUCGCCCCUAGAUGCAUGUGAGAACGACUACACCGCUUGACCCGAACCGCUCCGAUAACGCACGCUUCGAAGGUAUAACCCCGAAAUGAUCGCCAGUGGAUGAAUGCAUAUGUUGUAUGAAAUGCUCGCGGUUGCACCGUGCCCGACGUGUUUCUUGCAUGUUCCCCGUUGCCGUGCUGUCGUCUCGUCGGAACCCAGUUACCGUGAUCACCCCACCUUCUAUCGCAUGUCACGCUCCCGUCACUUUUCCUUUUGCACCGGUAUCUUCGUGAGCUAUCGGAACCGGAAUGUUGCCGUGGCACCAUUUCCGUUGUCAUUGUCGUGGCACCCCUUUCGUUUCUGCCACGAUGACAAAUGCUUCUUAAUGCUCUUGUCAACUUUUAAUAAUAAUUGCAUAAAACUUGUUCACGUCAUCCGCAUCAUGAUAACAACAAUUAAAAUGUUUAAAUUGUUGUUGCACCAAAUUGAUAAAUGCAUAUGGGGAUUUACCGGAUUUGUUGGUUGCUAUAUCCGGCCCCAUUUAAAUUGUUUAGAUAGAUAAUUCCUUUAUGUUUCACCUCUUGACAUGCUUAACAACAUUUAAUAUUGUUGAGUUCAUAAACGAGAUCGAACUAAAUAAGUCAUGUGGUGUUUCGUCAAUAUGCAACUCGUUGCAUAUUGAGCUCUACUUAAUUUUUAGGGUUGUUUGUGCACUUUGCCAUGCCAUGCCUCAUUAAACCGGACAUGCAUCAUACUUGAUUGUGCAUCGUGCCAUGCUUAUGUGAUGGUUGUUUACCAUGAUUGUUUGCUUCUUUCCGGUGUUGCUUCUUCGGGUUGGUUCCGAUAACGUCGUGUUGUGAGGAUCCAUUCGACUAUGUCCAUUUGUCUUCUUCAUGGACUCGUUCUUCUUCCUUGCGGGAUCUCAGGCAAGAUGACCAUACCCUUGAAAUCACUUCUAUACUUGCUUGCUAGAUGCUCGCUCUUUUGCUAUGCCUAUGUUGCGAUACCUACCACUUGCUAUAUCAUGCCUCCCAUGUUGCUAAUCCAAGCCUCUAACCCACCUUGUCCUAGCAAACCGUUGUUUGGCUAUGUUACCGCUUUGCUCAGCCCCUCUUAUAGCAUUGUUAGUUGUAGGUGAAGAUUGGAGUUUGUUCCUUGUUGGAACAUGAUUAUAUGUUGGGAUAUCACAAUAUCUCUUAUUUAAUUAAUGCAUCUAUAUACUUGGUAAAGGGUGGAAGGCUCGGCCUUAUGCCUGGUGUUUUGUUCCACUCUUGCCGCCCUAAUUUCCGUCAUACCGGUGUUAUGUUCCUUGAUUUUGCGUUCCUUACACGGUUGGGUUAUAAUGGGAACCCCUUGACAGUUCGCCUUGAAUAAAACUCCUCCAGCAAGGCCCAACAUUGGUUUUACCACUUGCCACCUAGCCUUUUCUUUCCCUUGGGUCGGCCGGCUCAAGGGUCAUCUUUAUUUAACCCCCCCGGGCCAGUGCUUCUCUAAGUGUUGGUCCAACUGAGGGAUGUCCGGGGCUACGAGGGGCAACUCUGGGCUGGCCUACCCGACGUCUUGCUCAUCCAGUGUGCCCUGAGAACGAGAUAUGUGCAGCUCCUAUCGGGAUUUGUCGGCACAUCUGGGUGGCUUUGCUGGUCUUGUUUUACCAUUGUUGAAAUGUCUUGUAACCGGGAUUCCGAGCCUGAUCGGGUCUUCAUGGGAGAAGGAAUAUCCUUCAUUGACCGUGAGACCUUGUGAUGGGCUAAGUUGGGACACCCCUGCAGGGAUUUGAACUUUCGAAAGCCGUGCCCGCGGUUAUGGGCAGAUGGGAAUUUGUUAAUGUCUGGUUGCAGGGAAACCUGAAACUUAUCUUAAUUAAAAUGCAUCAACCGCGUGUGUAGCCGUGAUGGUCUCUUCUCGGCGGGGUCCGGGAAGUGAACACGGUGUUGGAGUAAUGCUUGACGUAGGUUGUUCUAGGAUCACUUCUUGAUCAUAGUUUCUCGAUCGUGCUUUGCCUUCUCUUCUCGCUCUCAUUUGUGUAUGUUAGCCACCAUAUAUGCUAGUCGCUUGUUGCAGCUCCACCUCACAUACCUUUUUCCCUACCUAUAAGCUUAAAUAGUCUUGAUCGCGAGGGUGUGAGAUUGCUGAGUCCCCGUGACUCACAGAUACUUCCAAAACCAGUUUGCAGGUGCCGAUGUUGCCGAGCAGGUGACGCGACCAAGCUCAAGGAGGAGCUCGAUGAAGAUCUUGUCCUUUGUGUUGUUUCGUUCUAGUUGAUCAGUAGUGGAGCCUAGUUGGGGAUGAUUGGGGAUCUGUGUAGCUUUUGGGGUAGUAUUCUUUUAUUUUGGUUCCGUAGUCGGACCUUGAUUCUAUCUGGUUGAUGUAAUGCUUUAUUCAUGUAUUGUGUGACGUGGCAUUGUAAGCCAACUAUGUAUCUCUUUCCCUUAUGUAUUACAUGGGUUGUGUGAAGAUUACCUCACUUGCGACAUUGCUUUCAUUGCGGUUAUGCCUCUAAGUCGUGCUUCGACACGUGGGAGAUAUAGCCGCAUCGAGGGCGUUACAAGUUGGUAAUCAGAGCCUUCCCCGACUUAGGAGCCCCCUGCUUGAUCGAAUCGCUGGCGUUGUUGAGUCUAGAAAAAUGUUUUGAGUCAUUUAGGAUUAUAUAUAUCGGAGAGUAGGAUUCUUUUUACUCCUCAGUCCCUUCGUCGCUCUGGUGAGGCAUCCUGACGUAGAGUUUUGACUCUUCUCUUCUCAAAUUUCACUAAAAAAAUUUAGGAUCAUGCGGGUAUCUUGGAAUCAUUCCGAUGGUUUUGUGACGAGAACAUUGUUCUUGGUGCCUCCUGACAUUUAGGGGUUGUGGCAGUGUCCCGGGGAGUUGAGCUCUAAGGUGUUGUCGUCACAAUUUAUCGUUGCUAUUCUGGAAUACCUGAGUUUCGCCGACAUCAUAAAUGUCUUCUAUGUAGUUGUUGGUGAGAUAACCUCGACGCCACCUAGUACUGGGGCGGGAGUUCGGGAGUAUUGCCAUAACUCGUAUAACGGAUGCUUCUCGAAGGUUGAGGUAAAUGAUUUCCGAAGGUUUCUUGGUUAUGUGUUGAAGGAUGGAUACAACUGGAUGUAGGAUUUGCUAGUUUUGGGUGAGAUAUUAUGCUUCCCCUGUAUCCCCAACACCUGAUUGCAUAACCAGAAAGUUUCGGGAGUUUAUAAGUGGGAAUUCAAGUAGAUCCUAGGAUAUCUUUCCGAUAGAUGUAUGAUAUGAAAUUGGGGUUCGACGUCUAGUGGUCCGCCUAUCCACGGUUGGUUUUACAGUGGUCUCUUUGUGUCUUAAAGAGUCCUUGGCUAUGCCGACUCGGGGACGCUUCGUAUGUCAUGUGCACUGCCUUGUACAUGAUGGUGCUGUACGAUCGAGCCCGUGUGGGCCCCACCACAAAAACUUAGGAUGAAAUCUCUAUCAUAUGUUUGUUCCGGCUUAUUCUGCAAGCCAAUCCUUUGUUUUUGUUUUGAGUUGUGGUAUUUGAGUUGCUUCGAAGUCAAGUGUUGAUUCCAUACCUUUCCAAAGCGGUGUUCUCAUGUUCCUAUGUGAAUACCAAUCCUUCUUCAUAAUCGAGAUUGUCAUGUAAAUCCUUUUCAACCGGCGUGUUCCUCUUCAAGUGGAUCCAAUCUUGUCAACAUUCGCAAGAUCUAUUAUCAGUUCUUCUCAACGGUGUUUGUUUCAUCCGUCUCCAAGUUGCCUUUGUUUUCCCGCCCACCCACCCUUUUUCUUCAAGGACUCAGAUAUCUUAAUCAAGUAUCCAUCUUAUUGAUGCGAGGCCUCUUCAUUCCUUUUCCGUCAAUGUUUCUUAUCCGGUGAUUCUCAUGAAGAUUCUAACGGAGCUUCUAGUUUAUCAUUCUUCGUUUUUUUCUUCUCCGGUGGACCCAAGUCAAGCUUUGUUGAUCAUAUCCUUUUCCUUGUUUCAAAUACCUUCUCAUGCCGGUGCACCUCAUAUUCAUUCAUUGCUCGCUAUUCAAUUGUUCCGGAGUGCUCAAGAUAUCUCUAAGAUUCGUGUUUCCACUCUGCAUUCGUUCAAGAUCUUUCGAGGAUGUUAUCUGAUAUGUCCAUUUUGCAUCAUGCUUUUAUAUCGAUAUUUAUUGCAUUAUGGAUUGUUAUUUCACUUUAUGUCACAAUACGUAUGGCUAUUCUCUCCUAUUUUACAAGGUUUACAUAAGGAGGGAGAAUGCCGGCAGCUAGAAUUCUGGGCCGGAAAAGGAGCAAAUAUUAGAAACCUAUUUUGUGCAACUCCAAAAGUCCAGAAACUCCACGGAACGUCUUAAAAUAAAUAAAGAAAAAUCCUCGCCAAAGAUGAAGGCCAGGGGGCCCACACCCUGCUCACGAGGGUGGGGGGCGCCCCCCCUAGGGCGCGCCCCCCUACCUCGUGGGCCCCCUGGUGGCUCUCUGACGCCCAUCUUCUCCUAUAUGAAGUCUUUCGAUGAGAAAAAAAGGAGGAACUUUUUGGGACGAGACUCCGCCGCCACGAGGCGGAACCUUGGCGGAUCCAAUCUAGAGCUCCGGCAGAGCUGUUCUGCCGGGGAAACUUCCCUCCGGGAGGGGGAAAUCAUCACCAUCGUCAUCACCAACGCUCCUCUCAUCGGGAGAGGGCAAUCUUCAUCAACAUCUUCACCAGCACCAUCUCAUCUCCAAACCCUAGUUCAUCUCUUGCAUCGAAUUCUUGUCUCAAAGUCCGGGAUUGGUGCUAGUAGGUUGCUAGUAGUGUUGAUUACUCCUUGUAGUUGAUGCUAGUUGGUUUAAUUGGUGGAAGAUCAUAUGUUUAGAUCCUAUAUGCAUAUUAUUACCCCUCUGAUUAUGAACAUGAAUAUGCUUUGUGAGUAAUUACGUUCGUUCCUGAGGACAAGGGAGAAGUCUUGCUAUUAGUAGUCAUGUGAAUUUGGUAUUCGUUUGAUAUUUUGAUAAGAUGUAUGUUGUCUAGCCUCUAGUGGUGUUAUGUGAACGUCGACUACAUAACACUUCACCAUUAUUUGGGCCUAGAGGAAGGCAUUGGGAAGUAAUAAGUAGAUGAUGGGUUGCUAGAGUGACAGAAGCUUAAACCCUAGUUUAUGCAUUGCUUCGUAAGGGGCUGAUUUGGAUCCAUAUGUUUCAUGCUAUGGUUAGGUUUACCUUAAUACUUUUGUUGUAGUUGCGGAUGCUUGCAAUAGAGGUUAAUCAUAAGUGGGAUAUUUGUUCAAGUAAUAACAGCACCCAAGCACCAGUCCACCCACAUAUCAAAUUAUCAAAGUAUCAAACGCGAAUCAUAUGAACUUGAUGAAAACUAGCUUGACGAUAUUCCCAUGUGUCCUCGGGAGCGCUUUUCCUAUUAUAAGAGUUUGUUCCGGCUUCUCCUUUGCUACAAAAGGAUUGGGCCACCUUGCUGCACUUUAUUUACUUUUGUUACUUGUUGCUCAUUGCAAUUUAUCCCGUCACAAAACUAUCUGUUACCACUUAUUUCAGUACUUGCAGAGAAUACCUUGCUAAAAACCACUUACCAUUUCCUUCCGCUCCUCAUUGGGUUCGACACUCUUACUUAUCGAAAGGACUACGAUAGAUCGCCUAUACUUGUGGGUCAUCAAGACUCUUUUCUGGCGCCGUUGCCGGGGAGUGUAGCGCCUUUGGUAGGUGGAAUUUGGUAAGGAAAAUUUUAUAUAGUGUGCUGAAAUUUACUGUCACUUGUUACUAUGGAAAGUAAUUCUCUGAGGGCUUGUUCGGGGUAUCUUCACCCCGUCCAGUAGAGCAAAGAGUUGCUCCUCAACCUACUGAACCUAUUGAAAAUGAAACUCCUUUUGAAUUUCCUUCGGGUAUGAUGGAAAAACUGCUAGAUAACCCUUUUACAGGAGAUGGAACAAAGCAUCUUGAUGAGCACUUAAUAUAUGUGGAUGAAGUUUGUGGAUUAUUUAAGCUUGCAGGUAUACCCGAUGAUGUUGCUAAGAAGAAGGUCUUCCCUUUAUAUUUGAAGGGAGACACAUUGAUAUGGUAUAGGCUAUGUGAUGAUAUGAGAUCAUGGGACUAUAAAAGAUUGAAGCUGGAAUUGUUGGAAAUAUGCCCUAGAGGCAAUAAUAAAUUAGUUAUUAUUAUAUUUCCUUGUUCAUGAUAAUCGUUUAUUAUCCAUGCUAGAAUUGUAUUGAUAGGAAACUCAGAUACAUGUGUGGAUACAUAGACAACACCAUGUCCCUAGUAAGCCUCUAGUUGACUAGCUCGUUGAUCAAUAGAUGGUUAUGGUUUCCUGACCAUGGACAUUGGAUGCCGUUGAUAUCGGGAUCACAUCAUUAGGAGAAUGAUGUGAUGGACAAGACCCAAUCCUAAGCCUAGCACAAAGAUCGUGUAGUUCGUAUGCUAAAGCUUUUCUAAUGUCAAGUAUCAUUUCCUUAGAACAUGAGAUUGUGCAACUCCCGGAUACCGUAGGAGUGCUUUGGGUGUGCAAAACGUCACAACGUAACUGGGUGGCUAUAAAGGUACGCUACAGGUAUCUCCGAAAGUGUCUGUUGGGUUGGCACGAAUCGAGACUGGGAUUUGUCACUCCGUGUAAACGGAGAGGUAUCUCUGGGCCCACUCGGUAGGACAUCAUCAUAAUGUGCAUAAUGUGACCAAGGAGUUGAUCACGGGAUUAUGUGUUACAGAACGAGUAAAGAGACUCGCCGGUAAUGAGAUUGAACAAGGUAUCGGGAUACCGACGAUCGAAUCUCGGGCAAGUAUCGUAUCGAUAGACAAAGGGAAUUGUAUACGGGAUUGAUUAAGUUCUUGACAUCGUGGUUCAUCUGAUGAGAUCAUCGUGGAACAUGUGGGAGCCAACAUGGGUAUCCAGAUCCCGCUGUUGGUUAUUGACCGGAGAACGUCUCGGUCAUGUCUGCAUGUCUCCCGAACCCGUAGGGUCUACACACUUAAGGUUCGAUGACGCUAGGGUUAUAAAGGAAGUUUGUAUGUGGUUACCGAAUGUUGUUCGGAGUCCCGGAUGAGAUCCCGGACGUCACGAGGAGUUCCGGAAUGGUCCGGAGGUAAAGAUUUAUAUAUGGGAAGUCCUGUUUUGGUCACCGGAAAAGUUUCGGGGUUUAUCGGUAACGUACCGGGACCACCGGGAGGGUCCCGGAGGUCCACCAAGUGGGGCCACCAGCCCCGGAGGGCUUCAUGGGCCAAGUGUGGAAGGGGACCAGCCCCAGGUGGGCUGGUGCGCCCCCCCCCACAAGGUCCCAAGGCCCAAGGGAGAGGAGAAGGGGGCAAACCCUAGGGCAGAUGGGCCCUAAGGCCCAUCCUGGUGCGCCUCCCUCUCCCCCUCCCCCUUGGCCGCCCACCUUAGAUGGGAUCUAGGCUGGCCGCCACCCCUAGGGGUGGAAACCCUAAAGGGGGCACAGCCCCUCCCCUUCCCCUAUAUAUAGUUGAGGUUUGGGCUGCUCAUAACACGCGAGUUCCUCUCCUCUAUAUGACGCAGCCCUGCAUCUCUCCUUCCUCCUCUCCCGCGGUGCUUGGCGAAGCCCUGCAGGAUAGCCACGCUCCUCCAUCACCACCACGCCGUUGCGCUGCUGCUGGAUGGAGUCUUCCUCAACCUCUCCCUCUCUCCUUGCUGGAUCAAGGCAUGGGAGACGUCGUCGGGCUGUACAUGUGUUGAACACGGAGGUGUCGUCCGUUCGGCACUAGGAUCUCCGGUGAUUUGGAUCACGACGAGUACGACUCCAUCAACCCCGUUCUCUUGAACGCUUCCACUUAGCGAUCUACAAGGGUAUGUAGAUGCACUCUCCUUCCCCUCGUUGUUGGUCUCUCCAUAGAUAGAUCUUGGUGACACGUAGGAAAAUUUUGAAUUUCUGCUACGUUAUCCAACAGUGGCAUCAUGAGCUAGGUCUAUUGCGUAGAUUCUAUGCACGAGUAGAACACAAAGUAGUUGUGGGCAUUGAUUUUGUUCAAUAUGCUUACCGUUACUAGUCCAAUCUUGAUUCGGCGGCAUUGUGGGAUGAAGCGGCCCGGACCAACCUUACACGUACGCUUACGUGAGACCGGUUCCACCGACAAACAUGCACUAGUUGCAUAAGGUGGCUGGCGGGUGUCUGUCUCUCCCACUUUAGUCGGAUCGGAUUCGAUGAAAAGGGUCCUUAUGAAGGGUAAAUAGCAAUUGGCAUAUCACGUUGUGCUUUUUGCGUAGGUAAGAAACGUUCUUGCUAGAAACCCAUAGCAGCCACGUAAAACAUGCAAACAACAAUUAGAGGACAUCUAACUUGUUUUUGCAGGGUAUGCUAUGUGAUGUGAUAUGGCCAAGAAGAAUGUGAUGAAUGAUAUGUGAUGUAUGAGAUUGAUCAUGUUCUUGUAAUAGGAAUCAUGACUUGCAUGUCGAUGAGUAUGACAACCGGCAGGAGCCAUAGGAGUUGUCUUAAUUUAUUUAUGACCUGCGUGUCAACAUAAACGUCAUGUAAUUACUUUACUUUAUUGCUAACCGUUAGCUGUAGUAGUAGAAGUAAUAGUUGGCGAGACAACUUCAUGAAGACACGAUGAUGGAGAUCAUGAUGAUGGAGAUCAUGGUGUCAUGCCGGUGACAAGAUGAUCAUGGAGCCCCAAGAUGGAGAUCAAAGGAGCUAUAUGAUAUUGGCCAUAUCAUGUCACUAUUAUUUGAUUGCAUGUGAUGUUUAUCAUGUUUAUACAUCUUAUUUGCUUAGAACAACGGUAGUAAAUAAGAUGAUCCCUCAUUAAAAUUUCAAGAAAGUGUCCCCCCUAACUGUGCACCGUUGCGAAAGUUCGUCGUUUCGAAGCACCACGUGAUGAUCGGGUGUGAUAGAUUCUAACGUUCACAUACAACGGGUGUAAGACAGAUUUACACACGCGAAACACUUAGGUUGACUUGACGAGCCUAGCAUGUGUACAGACAUGGCCUCGGAACACAGAAGACCGAAAGGUCGAGCAUGAGUCGUAUGGUAGAUACGAUCAACAUGAAGAUGUUCACCGAUGAUGACUAGUGCGUCUCACGUGAUGAUCGGACACGGCCUAGUUGACUCGGAUCAUGUAAUCACUUAGAUGACUAGAGGGAUGUCUAUCUGAGUGGGAGUUCAUAAGAUGAACUUAAUUAUCCUGAACAUAGUCAAAAGGUCUUCGCAAAUUAUGUCGUGGCUCACGUUUCUGUUCUACUGUUUAGAUAUGUUCCUAGAGAAAAUUUAGUUGAAAGUUGAUAGUAGCAAUUAUGCGGACUAGGUCCGUAAACUGAGGAUUGUCCUCAUUGCUUCAUAGAAGGCUUAUGUCCUUAAUGCACCGCUCAGUGUGCUGAACCUCGAACGUUGUCUGUGGAUGUUGCGAACAUCUGACAUACACAUUUUGAUAACUACGUGAUAGUUCAGUUAAACGGUUUAGAGUUGAGGCACCGAAGACGUUUUGAAACGUCGCGAAACAUAUGAGAUGUUUCGAGGGCUGAAAUUGGGAUUUCAGGCUCGUGCCCACGUCAAGAGGUAUAAGACCUCCGAUGAUUUUCUUAGCCUGCAAACUAAGGGAGAAAAGCUCAAUUGUUGAGCUUGUGCUCAGAUUGUCUGAGUACAACAAUCGCUUGAAUCAAGUGGGAAUUGAUCUUCCAGAUGAAAUAGUGAUGCUUCUCCGAAGUCAUUACCACCAAGCUGCUUGAGCUUCGUGAUGAAAUAUAAUAUAGCAGGGACAUAUAUGAUGAUCCUUGAGAUAUUCGCGAUGUUUGACACCACAAAAGUAGAGAUCAAGAAGGAGCAUCAAUUGUUGAUGGUUGGUGAAACCACUAGUUUUCAAGAAGGGCAAGGGCAAAAAGGGAUGCUUCAUGAAAUGGCAAAUCAGCUGCUUCUCUAGUGAAGAAACCCAAGGUUGAACCCAAACCCGAGACUAAGUGCUUCUGUAAUAAGAGGAACAGCCACUGGAGCAGAAUUACCCUAGAUACUUGGUAGAUAAGAAGGCUGGCAAGGUCGAUAGAAGUAUAUUGGAUAUACAUUGUGUUGAUGUGUACUUUACUAGUACUCCUAGUAGCUCCAGGGUAUUAGAUACCGGUUCUGUUGCUAAGUGUUAGUAACUCGAAAUAAAAGCUACGGAAUAAACGGAGACUAGCUAAAGGUGAGCUGACGAUAUGUGUUGGAAGUGUUUCCAAUGUUGAUAUGAUCAAGCAUCGCACGCUCCCUCUACCAUCGAGAUUGGUGUUUGCGUUGAGCAUAGACAUGAUUGGAUUAUGUCUAUCGCAAUAUGGUUAUUGGAGAAUAAUGGUUACUCUGUUUAUUUGAAUAAUACCUUCAAUGGUCUUGCACCUAAAAUGAAUGGUUCAUUGAAUCUCGAUCAUAGUGAUACACAUGUUCAUGCCAAAAGAUAUAAGAUAGUAAUGAUAGUACCACCUACUUGUGGCACUGCCACUUAAGUUAUAUCGGUAUAAAACGCAUGAAGAGGCUCCAUGUUGAUGGAUCUUUGGACUCACUCAUUUUUGAAAAGUUUGAGACAUGCGAACCAUGUCUAUUGGUGUAUAUGCAUGAAGAAACUCCAUGCAAAUGGACCGUUUGGACUCACUUGAUUUUGAAUCACUUGAGACAUGCAAAUCAUACCACAUGGGCAAGAUGACUGAAAGCCUCGUUUUCAGUAAAAUGGAACUAGAAAGCAACUUGUUGGAAGUAAUACAUUUUGAUGUGUGCAGUCCAAUGAGUGCUGAGGCAUGUAGUGGAUAUCGUUAUGUUCUUACUUCAUAGAUGAUUUGAGUAGAUAUUGAGUAUAUUUACUUGAUGAAUCACGAGUCUGAAUUAUUGAAAGGUUCAAGUAAUUUCAGGGUGAAGUUGAAAGAUCGUCGUGACAAGAGGAUAAAAUAUCUAUGAUAUGAUCAUAGAGAUGAAUAUCUGAAUUAUGAGUUUGGCACAGAAUUAAGACAUUGUGGAAAUUGUUUCACAACUAAUACAGCCUGGAACACCGUAGUGUGAUGGUGUGUCCGAACAUCAUAACUGCACCCUAUUGGAUAUGAUGCAUACCAUGAUGUCUCUUAUCGAAUUACCACAAAAGUUUAUGGGUUAGGCAUUAGAGACAACCACAUUCACUUUAAAUAGGGCACUACGUAAUUCCGAUGAGAUGACACCGUAUGAACUAUGGUUUAGAGAAACCUAAAGCUGUCAUUUCUUAAAAGUUUGGGGCUGCGACGCUUAUGUGAAAAAGUUUCAGUCUGAUAAGCUCGAACCCAAAGCGGAUAAAUGCAUCUUUAUAGGACACCCAAAACAGUUGGGUAUACCUCCUGUCUCAGAUCCGAAAGCAAUAAGAGAUUGUUUCUAGAAUCGGGUCCUUUCUCGAGGAAAAGUUUCUCUCGAAAGAAUUGAGUGGGAGGAUGGUGGAGACUUAAUGAGGUUAUUGAACCGUCUCUUCAACUAGUGUGUGACAGGGCACAGGGAGUUGUUCCUGUGGCACCUACACCAAUUGAAGUGGAAGCUUAAGAUAGUGAUCAUGAAACUUCAGAUCAAGUCACUACCAAACCUCGUGGGAUGACAAGGAUGCGUACUACUUCAGAGUGGCACAUGAUCCUGUCUUGGAAGUCAUGUUGCUAGACAACAAUGAACCUACGAGCAAUGGAGAAGUGAUGGUGGGCCCGGAUUCCGAUAAAUGGCUCGAGGCCAUAAAAUCCGAGAGAGGAUCCAUAUAUGAAAACAAAGUGUAGACUUUGGAAGAACUACUUGAUGGUCGUAAGGCUGUUAGGUACAUAUGGAUUUUAAAAGGAAGACGGACAAUGAUGGUAAAUGUCACCAUUAAGAAAGCUCGACUUGUCGUUAAGAUGUUUUCCGACAAGUUCAAGGAGUUGACUGCAAUGAGACUUUCUCACUCGUAGCGAUGCUAAGAGUCUGUUGGAAUUAUAUUAGCGAUUACUGCAUUAUUUAUGAAAUCUUGCUGAUAUGAUGUCAAAACAUUGUUUCCUCGACGAUUUUCUUGAGGAAAGGUUGUAUGUGAUACAACCGGAAGGUUUUGUCAAUCCUGAAAGAUGCUAAUAAGUAUGCAAAGCUCUAGCAAUCCUUCUAGGACUGGAGUAAGCAUCUCGGAGUUGGAAUGUAUGCUUUGAUGAUGAUCAAAGAUUUUGGGUGUAUACAAAGUUUAUGAGAAACUUGUAUUUCCAAAGAAGUGAGUGGGAGCACUAUAGAAUUUCUGAUAAAUAUGUGUUGUUGACAUAUUGUUGAUCAGAAAUGACGUAGAAUUUCUGGAAAGCAUAUAGGGUUAUUUGGAAAGUGUUUUUCAAUGGAAAGCCUGGAUUAAGCUACUUGAACAUUGAGCAUCAAGAUCUAUAAGGAUAGAUCAAAACGCUUAAUGGUACUUUCAAAUGAGCACAUACCUUGACAUGAUCUUGAAGGUGUUCAAGAUGGAUCAGUCAAAGAAGGAAUUCUUGCCUGAGUUGUAAGGUAUGAAGUUAAGACUUAAAGCUCGACCACGGCAGAAUAGAGAGAAAGGACGAAGGUCGUCCCCUAUGCUUAAGACAUAGGCUCUACAGUAUGCUAUGUUGUGUACCGCACCUGAAAUGUGCCUUGCCAUGAGUCAGUCAAGGGGUACAAUAGUGAUCUAAGAAUGGAUCACAGGAUAGCGGUCAAAGUUAUCCUUAGUAAUUAGUGGACUAAGGAAUUUUCUCGGUUAUGGAGGGAUAAAGAGUUCGACGUAAAGAGUUACGUCGAUGCAAGCUUAACACCUAUCCGGAUAGCUCUGAGUAGAGAUACCGGAUACGUAUAAUGGAGCAACAAUUUAGAAUAGCUCCAAGUAGAACAGUUAUUUGGAAUAGCUCCAAAUAUAGCGUAGUAGCUGCAUCUACAAGAUGACAUAGAGAUUUGCGAAGUACAUACGGAUCUGAAAGAUUCAGACCCGUUGACUAUAACAUCUCUCACAAGCAUAACAUGAUCAAACCCAGAACUCAUCGAGUGUUAAUCACAUGGUAAUGUGAACUAGAUUAUUGACUCUAGUAAACUCUUUGUGUGUUGGUCACAUGGCGAUGUGACCUGUGAGUGUUAAUCACAUGACGAUGUGAACUAGAUUAUUGACUCUAGUGCAAGUGGGAGACUGUUGGAAAUAUGCCCUUGGGGCAAUAAUAAAUUAGUUAUUAUUAUAUUUCCUUGUUCAUGAUAAUCGUUUAUUAUCCAUGCUAGAAUUGUAUUGAUAGGAAACUCAGAUACAUGUGUGGAUACAUAGACAACACCAUGUCCCUAGUAAGCCUCUAGUUGACUAGCUCGUUGAUCAAUAGAUGGUUACGGUUUCCUGACCAUGGACAUUGGAUGUCGUUGAUAACGGGAUCACAUCAUUAGGAGAAUGAUGUGAUGGACAAGACCCAAUCCUAAGCCUAGCACAAAGAUCAUGUAGUUUGUAUGCUAAAGCUUUUCUAAUGUCAAGUAUCAUUUCCUUAGACCAUGAGAUUGUGCAACUCCCGGAUACCGUAGGAGUGCUUUGGGUGUGCCAAACGUCACAACGUAACUGGGUGGCUAUAAAGGUACGCUACAGGUAUCUCCGAAAGUGUCUGUUGGGUUGGCACGAAUCGAGACUGGGCAAGUAUCGUAUCGAUAGACAGAGGGAAUUGUAUACGGGAUUGAUUAAGUCCUUGACAUCGUGGUUCAUCCGAUGAGAUCAUCGUGGAACAUGUGGGAGCCAACAUGGGUAUCCAGAUCCCGCUGUUGGUUAUUGACCGGAGAACGUCUCGGUCAUGUCUACAUGUCUCCCGAACCCGUAGGGUCUACACACUUAAGGUUCGAUGACGCUAGGGUUAUAAAGGAAGUUUGUAUGUGGUUACUGAAUGUUGUUCGGAGUCCCCGAUGAGAUCCCGGACGUCACGAGGAGUUCCGGAAUGGUCCGGAGGUAAAGAUUUAUAUAUGGGAAGUCCUGCUUUGGUCACCGGAAAAGUUUCAGGGUUUAUCGGUAACGUACCGGGACCACCGAGAGGGUCCCGGGGGUCCACCAAGUGGGGCCACCAGCCCCGGAGGGCUUCAUGGGCCAAGUGUGGAAGGGGACCAGCCCCAAGUGGGCUGGUGUGCCCCCUCCCCCCCCCCCACAAGGGCCCAAGGCGCAAGGGAGAGGAGAAGGGGGCGAACCCUAGGGCAGAUNNNNNNNNNNNNNNNNNNNNNNNNNNNNNNNNNNNNNNNNNNNNNNNNNNNNNNNNNNNNNNNNNNNNNNNNNNNNNNNNNNNNNNNNNNNNNNNNNNNNNNNNNNNNNNNNNNNNNNNNNNNNNNNNNNNNNNNNNNNNNNNNNNNNNNNNNNNNNNNNNNNNNNNNNNNNNNNNNNNNNNNNNNNNNNNNNNNNNNNNNNNNNNNNNNNNNNNNNNNNNNNNNNNNNNNNNNNNNNNNNNNNNNNNNNNNNNNNUAGUGCGCCUCCCUCUCCCCCUCCCCCUUGGCCGCCCCCCUUAGAUGGGAUCUAGGCUGGCCGCCACCCCUAGGGGUGGAAACCCUAAAGGGGGUGCAGCCCCUCCCCUUCCCCUAUAUAUAGUUGAGGUUUGGGCUGCUCAUAACACGCGAGUUCCUCUCCUCUAUAUGACGCAGCCCUGCAUCUCUCCUUCCUCCUCUCCCGCGGUGCUUGGCGAAGCCCUGCAGGAUAGCCACGCUCCUCCAUCACCACCACGCCAUUGUGCUGCUGCUGGAUGGAGUCUUCCUCAACCUCUCCCUCUCUCCUUGCUAGAUCAAGGCAUGGGAGACGCCGUCGGGCUGUACGUGUGUUGAACGCGGAGGUGCCGUCCGUUCGGCACUAGGAUCUCCGGUGAUUUGGAUCACGACGAGUACGACUCCAUCAACCCCGUUCUCUUGAACGCUUCUGCUUAGCGAUCUACAAGGGUAUGUAGAUGCACUCUCCUUCCCCUCGUUGCUGGUCUCUCCAUAGAUAGAUCUUGGUGACACGUAGGAAAAUUUUGAAUUUCUGCUACGUUAUCCAACAGGAAUUUCAUUAAAAGUAUUACCCUAUGCAUCUUGUUCAUCGUGAUCGCAAUUAUAUAUAUAAUUUUUGGCGUCGCGAAGGAGAAAGCAUCGCUCAAGCUUGGGGAGGCUUAAAUCAAUGUUAUAUUCAUGCCCCAAUCAUGAGCUCUCAAGAGAAAUGAUUAUUCAAAAUUUAUAUGCUCGGCUUUCUGAUAACAAUCGCACCAUGCUCGAUACUUCUUGUGCUGGCUCUUUUAUGAUAAAGACUACUGAAUUCAGAUGGAAUUUAUUGGAUAGAAUUAAACGCAACUCUGAAGAUUGGGACCUCGACAAAGGUAAGGAGUCAGGUAUGACACCUAAGUUUGAUUGUGUUAAAUCUUUUAUGGAUACCGAUAUUUUCCGCAAGUUUAGCACUAAAUAUGGACUUGACUCUGAGAUAGUAGCUUCUUUCUGUGAAUCUUUUGCUACUUAUGUUGAUCUCCCUAAGGAGAAGUGGUUUAAAUACCAUCCUCCCAUAGAAGUAAAAGUAGCUGCACCUAUUAAAGUUGAAGAAAAGACUGUCACUUAUAAUGAUCCUAUUGUUCCUACUUCUUAUAUUGAGAAACCACCUUUCCCCGUUAGAAUAAAGGAUCAUGCUAAAGCUUCAACUGUUGUUCGUAAAAGCAAUAUUAGAACUUAUACACCUCCUGAGAAAGUUAAAGUAGAACCUAAUAUUGCUAUUGUUAAAGAUCUCUUGUCUGAUAAUAUUGAUGGGCAUGUUAUUCAGUUCAAAGGUGAAACUGCUAGGAUUGCUAAACCUUGUGAUAAAGAUAAACAUAGACUUGUGGUAGGCAUGCCUGUUAUUUCUGUUAAAAUAGGAGAUCAUUGUUAUCAUGGCUUAUGUGAUAUGGGUGCUAGCGCUAGUGUAAUACCUAUUGACUUAUACGAAGAAAUUAAGAAUGAAAUUGCACCUGUUGAGUUAGAAGAUAUUGAUGUCACAAUUAAACUUGCCAAUAGAGAUACUAUUUCACCAAUUGGAAUUGUUAGAGAUGUUGAAGUCUUGUGUGGGAAAACUAAAUAUCCUGCUGAUUUUCUUGUUCUUAAUUCUCCACAAGAUAACUUUUGUCCCAUUAUAUUUGGUAGACCCUUCUUAAAUACUGUUAAUGCUACCAUAGAUUGCACAAAGAAUGUUGUUAUUGUUGGCUUGGAUGAUAUGGUUCAUGAGUUUAAUUUCUCUAAAUUUAGUAAACAACAUCGUGAGGAAGAAUUACCUAGUAAGGAUGAAAUUAUUGGUCUUGCUUCUAUUGCCGUACCUCCUAGUGAUCCUUUAGAACACUAUUUGCUAGACCAUGAAAAUGAUAUGUUCAUGAAUGAAAGAAGGGAAAUAGAUGAAGUAUUCUUUAAACAGGAACCUAUUCUGCAUCACAACUUGCCUGUUGAAAUAUUAGGGGAUCCUCCUCCACCCAAGGGUGAUGCCGUGUUUGAGCUUAAAUCUUUGCCUGAUAAUCUUAAAUAUGCUUAUCUUCAUGAAAAGAAGAUAUAUCCUGUUAUUAUUAGUGCUAACCUUUCAGAGCAUGAAGAAGAAAGAUUAUUGAAAACUCUGAAGAAGCAUCAUACUGCUAUUGGAUAUACUCUUGAUGAUCUUAAGGGCAUUAGUCCCACUCUAUGUCAACAUAAACUAAAUUUGGAAGCAGAUGCCAAACCAGUUCGUGAUCCUCAACGACGUCUGAAUCCUAAAAUGAAAGAAGUGGUAAGAAAAGAAAUACUAAAGCUUCUGGAGGUAGGUAUAAUCUAUCCCGUUGCUGAUAGUGAGUGGGUAAGUCCUGUCCAUUGUGUCCCUAAGAAAGGAGGUAUUACUGUUGUUCCUAAUGAUAAAGAUGAAUUGAUUCCACAAAGAAUUAUCACAGGUUAUAGGAUUGUAAUUGAUUUCCGCAAAUUAAAUAAAGCUACUAAGAAAGAUCAUUACCCCUUACCUUUUAUUGAUCAAAUGCUAAAAAUAUUAUGCAAACAUACACACUAUUGCUUUCUAGAUGGUUAUUCUGGUUUCUCUCAAAUACCUGUGUCGGCUAGAGAUCAAUCAAAGACUACUUUUACAUGCCCUUUUGGUACUUUUGCUUAUAGAUAUAUGCCUUUUGGUUUAUGCAAUGCACCCGCUACUUUUCAAAGAUGCAUGAUGGCUAUAUUCUCUGACUUUUGUGAAAAGAUUUGUGAGGUUUUCAUUGACGACUUUUCCAUCUAUGGUUCCUCUUUUGAUGAUUGCUUGAGCAAUCUUGAUCGAGUUUUGCAGAGAUGUGAAGAAACUAAUCUUGUCUUGAAUUGGGAAAAUUGCCACUUUAUGGUUAAUGAAGGUAUUGUCUUGGGGCACAAAGUUUCUGAAAGAGGUAUUGAAGUUGAUAAAGCCAAGGUUGAUGCGAUUGAAAAGAUGCCAUGUCCCAAGGACAUCAAAGGUAUAAGAAGUUUCCUUGGUCAUGCCGGAUUUUACAGGAGGUUCAUUAAGGACUUCUCAAAAAUUUCUCGGCCUCUGACUAAUUUAUUGCAAAAAGAUAUACCAUUUGUCUUUGAUGAUGAUUGUGUAGAAGCAUUUGAAACACUUAAGAAAGCAUUAGUCUCUGCACCUGUUGUUCAGCCACCUGAUUGGAACCUACCCUUUGAAAUUAUGUGUGAUGCUAGUGAUUAUGUAGUAGGUGCUGUUUUAGGGCAAAGAGUUGAUAAGAAAUUAAAUGUUAUUCAUUAUGCUAGUAAGACUCUAGACAAUGCUCAAAGAAAUUAUGCUACUACUGAAAAAGAACUCUUAGCAAUUGUAUUUGCUUGUGAUAAGUUCAGAUCUUAUAUUGUUGAUUCUAAAGUAACUAUUCAAACUAAUCAUGCUGCUAUUAAAUAUCUUAUGGAAAAGAAGGAUGCUAAACCUAGACUUAUUAGAUGGGUUCUCUUGCUACAAGAAUUUUAUUUGCAUAUUGUUGAUAGAAAGGGAGCUGAGAACCCCGUUGCAGACAACUUGUCUAGGUUAGAAAAUAUUCUUGAUGACCCACUACCUAUUAAUGAUAGCUUUCCUGAUGAACAAUUAAAUGUUAUAAGUACUUCUUGUAAUACUCCAUGGUAUGCUGAUUAUGCUAAUUAUAUUGUUGCUAAGUUUAUACCACCUAGCUUCACAUACCAGCGAAACAAAAAGUUUUUCUAUGAUUUAAGACAUUACUUUUGGGAUGACCCACAUCUUUAUAAGGAAGGAGUAGAUGGUGUUAUUAGACGUUGUGUACCUGAGCAUGAACAGGAACAGAUCCUACGCAGGUGUCAUUCCGAGUCUUAUGGAGGACACCACACUGGAGAUAGAACUGCACAUAAAGUAUUGCAAUCUGGUUUUUAUUGGCCUACUCUCUUCAAGGAUGCCCGUAAGUUUGUCUUGUCUUGUGAUGAAUGUCAAAGAAUUGGUAAUAUUAGUAGACGUCAAGAAAUGCCUAUGAAUUAUUCUCUUGUUAUUGAACCGUUUGAUGUUUGGGGCUUUGAUUAUAUGGGACCUUUUCCUGCCUCUAAUGGAUACACACAUAUUUUAGUUGUUGUUGAUUACGUUACUAAGUGGGUAGAAGCUAUUCCAACUAGUAGUGUUGGUCAUAACACUUCUAUUAAAAUGCUUAAGGAAGUUAUUUUCCCGAGGUUUGGAGUCCCUAGAUAUUUAAUGACUGAUGGUGGUUCACACUUUAUUCAUGGUGCCUUCCGUAAAAUGCUUGCUAAAUAUGAUGUUAAUCAUAGAAUUGCAUCUCCUUAUCACCCACAGUCUAGUGGUCAAGUAGAGUUGAGCAAUAGAGAGCUCAAACUAAUUUUGCAAAAGACUGUUAAUAGGUCUAGAAAGAAUUGGUCCAAGAAACUUGAUGAUGCAUUAUGGGCUUAUAGAACUGCAUACAAAAAUCCUAUGGGUAUGUCUCCGUAUAAAAUGGUAUAUGGAAAAGCAUGUCACUUACCUCUCGAACUAGAACAUAAGGCAUAUUGGGCUAUUAAAGAGCUUAACUAUGAUUUUAAACUUGCUGGUGAGAAGAGGUUAUUUGAUAUUAGCUCACUUGAUGAAUGGAGAACCCAAGCUUAUGAAAAUGCCAAGUUGUUUAAAGAAAAAGUUAAAAGAUGGCAUGACAAAAGGAUACAAAAACGUGAGUUUAAUGUAGGUGAUUAUGUAUUGCUAUACAACUCUCGUUUAAGAUUUUUUGUAGGAAAACUUCUCUCUAAAUGGGAAGGCCCCUAUGUUAUCGAAGAGGUCUAUCGUUCUGGUGCCAUAAAGAUCAACAACUUUGAAGGCACAAAUCCGAAAGUGGUAAACGGUCAAAGAAUCAAACAUUAUAUCUCAGGUAAUCCCAUAAAUGUUGAAACCAAUAUUAUUGAAACCGUAACCCCGGAGGAAUACAUAAGAGACACUUUCCGGAAUGUUUCAGACUCCAAAAAGGAAUAGGUAUGUGGUACGGUAAGUAAACUGACUCCAAAACAAUUUUUAAGGCAAUAUUUCUCUGUUUUGGAAUAUUUAGAAAAAUAGAAAAUUAAGUAGCAGUCCGGGAAGGACACGAGGGCCCCACGAGGGUGGUGGGCGUGCCCUACCCCCUGGGCGCGCCCCCUACCUCGUGAGCACCUCGUGUGCCUUCCGGACUCCGUUUUCUUGCACGUUACGUAUUUUGGUCAGUAAAAAUUCAUUAUAUAACCUCCCGAAGGUUUUGACUCCCGUAUCACGCAAACCCCCUCUGUUCUUGUUUCGAGCUAUUUUUCUGACAGAUCUAGAUUAUCAUGACGUCCCCAAGUGCUUCCAAGGACAAGUUCUUCGAGAAGGUCAUCAACCCUUACCUCGCGGAGGUGUUGUGACACCCUCAAACCAUUGAGAUGCGUGAUGGGUUUGUUGCACAUCCGUGAUGUUGAGGGACCAAAGGGAACCGGAAGCGUGGAGACGAGGCUCGAAGCAAUGGAGCAACAAAUUUUCAAGUGCCAGGGGAUGGCGGAGCGUGGAAUCAAUGCUAGCCACACGAUGCUCGUGGAGUUCACCAACAACUACAAGCCGGAUACCAAGAACACCGAGGAGGCCAUCUUCAAGCUAUAUGAGAAGAUUGAGCACCUCCAAGCUCAAAUCUAUGACCUACAAAACCAAAACUGUGAGUAUGAAUAUAGAUUCAAAAGAAUGAGUUUGGCUGCAGAUUCGAGGAUUCCAGAGACUCGAUCAUCCUUCUAUGAUGGUGAACCUAUGCCUUGGAAGAUGGAUGACAAGCCCGCAUCAUCAACAACACCUCCACCUUCUUCACCGACAAAGGAGACAUAAUCACUUGGGUAUGGGCACUCCCCUUGGCAACUGCCAAUCUUGGGGGGGUGCCCCGGUAUCGUAUCACAAUCACAACUCCUAUCUUUACCGUUUUUCUUAGUUCGAUCCUAUUAGUAGUACCUUGAUCUAGUAGAAUAAAGUUUAUGGCAUGAUCUAGUUUUGAGUUUUGCUUUACGAUCUCUCUAUGUAAUCGAGUUCGUGAGCUAUAUAUAAUAAAGAUUAGUGUUGAGUCAAGGGCUUGAUUAUUUUGCCAUGAUCUUGGGUGAAUAAAAGAAAAGAGAAAAGAAUAAAAAGAAACAAGAAGUUCAUAUUGAUCUUAUUGAGAGUAAUGACUUCACAUAGAAAGAGUAUGAUGAUUAAAAGUUGUUGGGAGUUGGCAAACAUAGCUUUUGUCAUUGUUGUAAUUAAUAGGAAGUAAUAAGGAAAGAGAGGUUUUCACAUAUAGAUAUAUUAUCAUUGACAUCUUUUAUGAUUGGGAACACUCAUUAAAAUAUGACAUGCUAAAGAGUUGAUGUUGGACAAGGAAGACAACGUAAUGAGUUAUGUCUUUCUUAUAUCCGAGAUAAAAUAUGUUGUCAUGGAUCCUGCCAAAUUCUUAGCACCAAGUAGAAAUACUACUUGUGCUUCCAAACACCCUUAAACCAGUUUUGCCAUGAGAGUCCACCAUAUCUACAUAUGGAUUGAGUAAGAUCCUUAAAGUAAGUUGUCAUCGGUGCAAAGCAAUAAAAAUUGCUCUAAAUAUGUAUGAUUGAUUGGUGUGGGAGAAAUAAGCUUUAUACGAUCUUGUGAUGUGGAAGUAAUAAAAGCGACGGACUGCAUAAUAAAGGUUCAUAUCACAAGGGGCAAUAUAAAGUGACAUUCUUUCGCAUUGAGAUUUUGUGCAUCCAACCAUAAAAGCGCAUGGAAACCUCCGCUUCCCUCUGCGAAGGGCCUAUCCUUUAUUAUUAUCUUCUACCUUCUACAAGAGUCAUGGUGAUCUUCACCUUUUCUUUUUCAUUUUAUCCUUUGGCAAGCUCAGCAUGUUGGAAAGAACAUGAUAUAUAUAUAUAUAUAUAUAUAUAUAUAUAUAUAUAUAUAUAUAUAUAUCUAAUUGGAUGUAGGGGAGCAUGAACCAUUAUUGUUGACAUUACCCUUGAGGUAAAAGGUUGUGGGGCAAAACUAUAAGCCCCUAUCUUUCUCUGUGUCCGAUUAAAACUCCGUAACCACAAGUAUCGUGUGAGUGUUAGCAAUUAUGGAGGACUAAAUGAUAGUUGAGUAUGUGGACUUGCUUUUUAGCUCUGACAUAGACUCUUUCCGAUGUUAUGAUAAAUUGCAAUUGCUUCAAUGAUUGAGAUUAUAGUUUGUCGGAGCCCAAUAAGGUUUAUGAUUUAUACUUUUGCAUUGUGAAUAGAUCAUCAUUUGAACAUAAGUAAUCAUAUGACAAGAGCUAUAUAUGUUGCUGUUAUGAGAAUAAUCAUGAUGCCUUCAUGUCCAUAUUUUAUUUUUAUCGAUGCCUCUACCUCUAAACAUGAGGACAUAUUUAUUGUUAUCGGCUUUUCGCUUGAGGACAAGCGAGGUAUAAGCUUGGGGGAGUUGAUACGUCCAUUUUGCAUCAUGCUUUUAUAUCGAUAUUUAUUGCAUUAUGGACUGUUAUUUCACUUUAUGUCACAAUACUUAUGGCUAUUCUCUCCUAUUUUACGAGGUUUACAUAAGGAGGGAGAAUGCCGGCAGCUGGAAUUCUGGGCUAGAAAAGAAGCAAAUAUUAGAGACCUAUUCUGUGCAACUCCAAAAGUCCUAAAACUCCACGGAACGUCUUAAAAUAAAUAAAUAAAAAUCCUCGCCAAAGAUGAAGGCCAGGGGGCCCACACCCUGCUCACGAGGGUGGGGGCGCCCCCCCUAGGGCGCGCCCCCUACCUCAUGGGCCCCCUGGUGGCUCUCCGACGCCCAUCUUCUCCUAUAUGAAGUCUUUCGAUGAGAAAAAAAGGAGGAACUUUUCGGGACAAGACUCCGCGGCCACGAGGCGGAACCUUGGCGGAUCCAAUCUAGAGCUCCGGCAGAGCUGUUCUGCCGGGGAAACUUCCCUCCGGGAGGGGGAAAUCAUCACCAUCGUCAUCACCAACGCUCCUCUCAUCGGGAGAGGGCAAUCUUCAUCAACAUCUUCACCAGCACCAUCUCAUCUCCAAACCCUAGUUCAUCUCUUGCAUCGAAUUCUUGUCUCAAAGUCCGGGAUUGGUGCUAGUAGGUUGCUAGUAGUGUUGAUUACUCCUUGUAGUUGAUGCUAGUUGGUUUAAUUGGUGGAAGAUCAUAUGUUUAGAUCCUAUAUGCAUAUUAUUACCCCUCUGAUUAUGAAAUGAAUAUGCUUUGUGAGUAAUUACGUUCGUUCCUGAGGACAAGGGAGAAGUCUUGCUAAUAGUAGUCAUGUGAAUUUGGUAUUCGUUUGAUAUUUUGAUAAGAUGUAUGUUGUCUAGCCUCUAGUGGUGUUAUGUGAACGUCGACUACAUAACACUUCACCAUUAUUUAGGCCUAGAGGAAGGCAUUGGGAAGUAAUAAGUAGAUGAUGGGUUGCUAGAGUGACAGAAGCUUAAACCCUAGUUUAUGCGUUGCUUCGUAAGGGGCUGAUUUGGAUCCAUAUGUUUCAUGCUAUGGUUAGGUUUACCUUAAUACUUUUGUUGUAGUUGCGGAUGCUUGCAAUAGAGGUUAAUCAUAAGUGGGAUGUUUGUUCAAGUAAUAACAGCACCCAAGAACCGGUCCACCCACAUAUCAAAUUAUCAAAGUAUCGAACGCGAAUCAUAUGAACUUGAUGAAAACUAGCUUGGCGAUAUUCCCAUGUGUCCUCGGGAGCGCUUUUCCUAUUAUAAGAGUUUGUUCCGGCUUAUCCUUUGCUACAAAAGGAUUGGGCCACCUUGCUGCACUUUAUUUACUUUUGUUACUUGUUGCUCAUUGCAAUUUAUCCCGUCACAAAACUAUCUGUUACCACUUAUUUCAGUACUUGCAGAGAAUACCUUGCUAAAAACCGCUUAUCAUUUCCUUCUGCUCCUCGUUGGGUUCGACACUCUUACUUAUCGAAAGGACUACGAUAGAUCCCCUAUACUUGUGGGUCAUCAUUAUCUCAUUCAAGCCUUCUAAUUCAACCGGUGCAUUCUCUAUUUUAAAUCAUUCUAUGGUGUAUCUUUUGAGUGGGCCCUAACCCACAUGUCUUUUCCCAGGAUCUUACCUAACUCUUCUAAUUUUCCCGGAGCUAUUCUCAAAUCUUCUAAAGUUUGACGUAAGAAUGAAUUAUCAUGAGUCAUAUGUAUUUCUCCAAGAUCUGUCAAAUUCUUUUUACCGUUGGUUCAACCUUUCUAUUCGUCAUCCCGGAGUAUCUCAACAAUUAAUGGUGGUGUUUCUCGUCGUCAUUCUCAACAUUUGAAGACUAAAGAAGAUUUUUUUUCUCAAAUCUUAUCCGUUUCCCUCAAAGAUUCGUGAUUCUAGCUUGUUGCCAUCCUCUCAUAUUUGUUUUCAAUUGUGAGAAUCCUUUUCACCCAUUAGGAGCUAUUCAAGAGUAUUUUCAGUUUGAUUCUCCGGAGCCCAUCAUUUCAGAAGAUUUAUUCAUUCUCGGCUUUCAGCUAUCUUUUCCCAAAUCUUAUCGGUGCAUCGUUCAAAUAUCCUCUAAUUAGUUUAUGAUCUCUUCGUUCACUUGUAUCUAAAUUCUCUCAAGCAUCUUCGUUCAUUUGCUAAUUCUUCUCGGUGUUUUCCUUAUCUUUUCUUUGUUCAUUUUCAUUUCUUUUGGCGGUUUGUUCAAGAGUUCUCUUCCUUGGUUAUCAUAUCAAUUUAUUCAUUCUUUCCAAUCCUACUGGUGGUUCGUCGAAGACCUUCUCAAGUUAUGCUAUAUCUCUCUUAAUCCUCUUCAACGAGAAUAAGUAGUAUGCCAAAUCCGUUUGCUCGUCAUCAAUUUAAUUGAUAAAGGAUAAACAUAAUGUAAUUCUUAUUCUUGUUUCAUCCAAGUGAGUAAUUCCUUAUUUCGGAGGUUCAUCAAAAUUCUUGAUUUCUUUUAUUCAUAUUUCUUUCCGGAGUUCCAAGUUUUUCCGCAUUAUCUCGCCGCGAAGCUCCAUCUAAAUCAUCGCAAGGUUUCACCUUGUGUUUUCAACUUCUCUUUCCUUUCGUUUGAUCAUCCUUUUGUUACCGGAGUUCUUCAUGGAGGCUCUACAUGGUGGUUCAUCAAGGAUUUAAAUACCUUCUCGAAGGGUUCAUCGAGAUUCUUUUCAGAGGAGCUUAGGUUUUCCUCAUCUUGCAAUCCGGAGUGCAAUUCUUUCUCUCUUAUCUUGUGAGGUGGUGUUAUGUCAUUUUUGACAAUUUGAGCUCGUGUUUCAUGAUUCACAUGUUGUCAAGAAUGAGAUAUUUUAAAUCCACCAAUCUCUUCAUUGGAGUUAUCUGGGGUUAUAUUUCACCUAAAGCUUUCCCUAAGGAUUGUUGCUAAUUAUGGUGUUUAUAAAUGACCCAAGUUCUUCAUUUAUCCUCCCGGUGAAAUAAGCUUCUCCUCUCCUUGUUGACAUCAAUCCAAGCAAUUGUUUCUGUUUGUGGCAAGUUUUCACCUCAAGUUUUUGAGAUGUUUUCCAUAAGCCCACAACAAGGUUACUCUUUUCGUUGUUGGAUUUCCAACAAUACCGUUCGACCCUUCUCCUAAAUGUGCUUUUUCAAGCUCAUUUGAGGUAGAAGAUGUUGUUUUCUCCUCCGUUCUUUUGAUUCCAUUAUUUUAUCUCUUCCGGAGGCAUUGUGGUGUUGCUCUCUUCACUCAUCAUCUCGGAUUGUCAGGACCAUGUUCUUUUCGUGCUUAUCCUUUUAACCGGAGUGUUGUGUCCUCUUUUCAAGCAUCCUCUCAUCUUGUCAAGUUCAUAUUCUUUACCUUCCAUUUCCAACCGGAGUGUUGUCAUAAUUGAUCCUUAUCGCUCCUUGUACAUCUCGUUUCUACCGGAGUGCUUGCAUGUACUUCUUGUCCAUUGCAACCCUUUUUCUUAUGUCUGUCAACCUACAAGGUUCUCGUAAUGUUCCUUGUUACUUUUCUAACGGAUUGUUUUCAACUUCGUUCAUCUUCGUUGUAUUUUUUUCUUUCAAUUUGUUCAACCUCUCAAGGUUCUUUGGUCUCACUCGUUUGUCAAAGAAGCAACUUAGUUUUACCUUUUCUCUUUCUCUUCCGUUUUUCCCUCCGGUGCCAUUCUAGAUCUCGGGACGAGAUCCUCUCGUAGUGGUGGAGUGUUGUGACGCCCCGAGACCGAUGCGCCAGGUGUCUUCCAGUUAUUCGCUGUUGUUGCCUUGUCAUUUGCUUGCAUGUCAUGUGCAUUGCAUCAUGUCAUCAUGCAACCCGUUUUAAAACUCACUAAAUAAAUUGGAUGGAUCUUAGGUCCAUUUAAACCGAGGGAAGGGUGACUUCUCUUUAUAACAUACUAGAUGACUCGUUGCGCCAAUGGCGCAAGGGGCGAGAGGGAGCCAAGUAUUAUGAGAAUAUUUAGACACCCAAGUUGAAACCAAAUGUGGCCAACACUCCCGCAUCCUCUGCUUGGAAGCCACCUUUUCUCACCGGGUCUAACAUAGAUACAUGAUUCUUCAAGAGCAAAUUUCAGAGAAACUAUAAAUCAUGACCCUCAGAGUGAUUAUGCAAAAUAUAAACACAUAGCCAUCUUGAGAUCGACAGCAAUGCACCAACGACUUUUUUCAAACCGCCAUAACUUUGGCAAACAAACACUUGCCGAUCAUCUUGAGAAAGUCCAUGCCUCCAAAGUGCGUUAUACAAAUAUUCCAUGCUAUCAAAGGCACUUCCGAUCUAACAAAGAUUCAAAUGCCAAGCCUAACAAUGAAUAACAACAAACAACCACAUUCUAAAAUGUACUGAACUUGGAUAUGCACUUUGUUACUUCAUUUUAUAAACCGUUAUAAGCGCUAUAAUUUCUUUCAUUUAUCUGAUUUAAUUGUCCCAAACUCCCAAUACAUAUUUAAACUGUGUUGUGGGCUUACAAGAGACAAAUGACAAAUUCACAAUAAUGGGCCAGCCAAAGUUACUUGACCAAGCGAUGUUAAUCCACUUACUCACUUCAUGACCAUCCCCUCCUUCUCCAAUCUCUCACUCACCCUGUAGUUUCCACUGCAUCGCCGCUGCUCCUCUGCAUCGGAGAGACGACUUCAAUUGCAAGAUCCACUCCCGCACGCACAAGAUCUAAUUCCUCCAAUGUACACAUCGCGUCACCAGGUCAGUUCGUUAGCUGGAUCCUCACCAGGUCAGGCUACCUCAACCACUUCCAAGUGAACCUUCACAAACAACACAGUAUUACAUCUAAAAGAUAACAAGUAAAUUCGGAGUAUUUCAGUUUUGAGCUGAUAAUUUUUUCCUAGAGGCAAGGUCAAAGAUAACAAAGUUUUACUUUUGAAACAAAGGCAGUAGUGUAAUUAUUAGCCAUCAUUAAAAUCAAUAUUGUCUCAUGAAAAUGCCUACCCUGUUGACCCACUAAUGGCAACUACAAAAUGUUUGGUUCAUCAUGCCUAAUUCAAAUUAGCUUCAAUGCCUCAUGUUUACUUCCAUAGCCUGAACUGAUAAAUCACUGAAACUUCUUCUCUGCUAAACCUAUGUCUACUUGCUAAUCAACACCCGAGUAAUAACAUGGUAGAUCAUCAUACAUGUUUAUCUCCUGUUUUCUUGAUGUCUGAGUAACAGUAUAUGCAUGUGUACUCUACAGUUUAAACAAGCUCAAUGCCCUACUAUUCUGGUUGAUAGCUGACUGUUGAGUCACUGGCACUAAGGUUGCUAAUAGAACGAUGCACUUACAGAGAGUCCAUGAACAAGAUAGCAAGCAGAAAAUAUAACAUAAAAUAGAGAUGUAAUUCCCCUUUGUACUAUGAUGUAUAUGCUUGUUUAGGGCAGACCAUAUAUCUUCAGAAAUCUGUACCUUAUCAGCUAUUUGAUUUGGUUACCGCAGUUCGGUCUUUUCCCUCUUGUGAGUUCUGCACCAUCCUCACAUGAUUCAUCAACAACCACCUAGAAACGAUCAGCAGAAAAAAAUCAAAGUGAAAUCAAAUGGAAUCACAUGUGUAGGUAGUAGCGAAGUACGAUAUGCCACUCCAUUGGCACUUCACCUGUACACCAUGCAACAUCAAGUGAGGCAUGAGCAAUAAAGUGAUCAGAUACCAACAUCAUGUAUUAAGCACAAAUCAUGAAUCAAUACCAGAGGACCAAAUAGUGUCACACCUCUGUACUAACAACCGAACUAUUUUUAGAAGAACAGGGAGGCUCUAACAACCAACAUUUUAGCAUGUCAUUUGUUUAACAACCAAGCCGUUUACCAAGCAAAACCACAAUAGCUAAAUCUCCCAAGAGCAUACUUUCAGAGAAGCACAGUCUAGAUCAUGCACCCACAAAUAAACGGCUUGGUUUUCAACUGGCAUAACAAUUUCCUCCCUACCGCAAGCCUCUGCCUGCAGCUUUAAACUGAACCAUCAAGUUCGAAUGUCAUUUAUUUACAAAAGUAUUGCUAUGGCAGUCUAAUUUCCCAAGGGCAGGGGUGCAAUAUACUUUCAGAAUAUGCAGUUCAGAUCAUGCAGUUAGAAAUAAACUUUAUGGUAGUAACUCUACAGGACUUGCUAUUCAAUCAUCUUUUCUAGUACCCAUUUUGAACACGAUACAAUGAUUAGCUCCUAUUAUGUAAGGUCACACCAUUUAAAUCGAGAAUUGCUCACAUUUCAUGAUUUUUUAGUUAUCCUAGUAGUGUUUACUUGCACAUCAAGAUUAUCAUAGUUACAGUUAGAGAGGCAUUGUCCUAUCAUAAUUUAAAUAUCAGAAGCUGACAGGAGUAAUGUAAAUACAUAUGGUCGAGACAUAAUUUUGUAGCAAAAUGUGACAGAGAGGCAAUAGAUUACAUGUGAAGGCACCCACAAAAGAUUAUUACUCCCUCCGUUCACUUUUGUAAGACCAUUUAGACAUUUAAGACAAGACUCAAAACAAUUCAAUUUCAGCUGUCUGAAACGUCUUAUAAAAGUGAACAGAGGGAGUACAAGAGCAGACACAAGGAUCAGAACACCAAGUAACAAUUAGAAUCUGUAUUGCGAGCUCCCUUACCCCAUUCUAUUUUUUUCUUGACAUUCAAACCUAAAACAAAGUAAUUCUUUUUAAUUUCCAAAGCACAGGUGAAUAUGACAAUACAGCUUGUCAAACCAGUACAUUGACUCAUAGCUCUGUGUCUAACAUUCAAAUCUAAAAUUAAGUAACUCUAUUUUGUUCUUAAUGAAAACAAAAAGGACCUCAGAAAGCCCAAGUAGCACCAAAAAAAUAUAACAUGGGAUAUUAAAAAAACACUGAAGCAUCAGAGUAGAGAGUAAUUAUCAAAUAGAAACAAAAGGAAAACAAAAGCAAGAAGCUCCCAUCCCCCGUCUGUUUUUGUUUUCUUUCACUUAUAUACACCAGAUCAAUAGACAAGCACUUUAACUAUAAAAAACAUAAUUCCUAAUUCAAGAACACAGUUGAAUAUUGGAGCACCACAUACUACUCUUCGUAAAGUAAAACAAAGCAUGUGAAGUCUCGGUUGACGGACGUUGCUUAGGAAGGAUUCAAUUAUGCUAUUAUUCAGUAGGUACAUUACAAAGCCUGUUCAUGCUAACAGUAGUAGAUUCUUGUAAUCACACUUCAUGUUCUAUUUUCUAAAUAAAAUAAAUGAUCUCGCUAUAGCAGAAAACAUACAUGCAUAUAGCUGACUGAAUUACCUCGCAAAGGUUCUGUUCUUGCAUUUCUACAUCUCCCUUGGUGCUGAAUAUAUAUAAAACAUCAGACCAACGCUUAACAAGAUUUUGAUACUUCAGGUGAUAGGAGCACAUCCUACCAGAAGUUUAGAACAAGAUGCACCAGAAGAACAGAUAAACUGAACUGUAGACAGUUACCCCAAACACAUAACAGGAACUGACAAACUUAACUGCAACAAAUACUUAUACUUCACAGGAGCAAAAGAAAAUAGAACCGAAAGAGGAAGCAUAAACCUUGGCAGCAAGAAUAACAGCAUGUGAGCCGACAAGAUGGUGGAAGAGUGGCAUCAUCUGCAACACAAACAGAAAGAACAUAGGAAGAACUGAUCAGACAGAUAAAACACAUGAAAAUGUAUAUAAGACAACCAAUGGUAGUACAUAUAGGUGAAUUAAAAUGCAUUGGGUCAGCCAAAAACAGACAAAACAUAACUGAUGAGAGCACAUAAAAGUAUAAAUAUGGGAAAGGAAGUCGAUGGUGCAAUAGACAAAUUGUAAUGCAUGUGCUAAAAUAAAUGGGCUCAUCCUAGAGUCUUAGACCACCCGUCAAAUAAUCACCACAACACAUCC
RNAcentral lists this long non-coding RNA (39316 nucleotides) under Triticum aestivum (bread wheat). Its description in RNAcentral is "long non-coding RNA (TAES_LNC001864)". Lineage: Eukaryota; Viridiplantae; Streptophyta; Magnoliopsida; Poales; Poaceae. The record is from RNAcentral.